RNAcentral lists this ribosomal RNA (727 nucleotides) under Vibrio aestuarianus. Its description in RNAcentral is "partial 23S ribosomal RNA". It matches the Rfam family "Bacterial large subunit ribosomal RNA", at positions 2204 to 2925 of the family's 2925-position model. Lineage: Bacteria; Pseudomonadati; Pseudomonadota; Gammaproteobacteria; Vibrionales; Vibrionaceae. The record is from RNAcentral.
CCUUGUAGUUUUGAUGUUCUAACGUUGGCCCCUAAUCGGGGUUGCGGACAGUGCCUGGUGGGUAGUUUGACUGGGGCGGUCUCCUCCCAAAGAGUAACGGAGGAGCACGAAGGUGGGCUAAACACGGUUGGACAUCGUGUGGUUAGUGCAAUGGCAUAAGCCCGCUUAACUGCGAGAAUGACAAUUCGAGCAGGUACGAAAGUAGGUCAUAGUGAUCCGGUGGUUCUGAAUGGAAGGGCCAUCGCUCAACGGAUAAAAGGUACUCCGGGGAUAACAGGCUGAUACCGCCCAAGAGUUCAUAUCGACGGCGGUGUUUGGCACCUCGAUGUCGGCUCAUCACAUCCUGGGGCUGAAGUCGGUCCCAAGGGUAUGGCUGUUCGCCAUUUAAAGUGGUACGCGAGCUGGGUUUAGAACGUCGUGAGACAGUUCGGUCCCUAUCUGCCGUGGGCGUUGGAAGAUUGAAGGGGGCUGCUCCUAGUACGAGAGGACCGGAGUGGACGAACCUCUGGUGUUCGGGUUGUUACGCCAGUAGCAUUGCCCGGUAGCUAAGUUCGGAAUCGAUAACCGCUGAAAGCAUCUAAGCGGGAAGCGAGCCCUGAGAUGAGUCUUCCCUGGCACUUUAAGUGUCCUAAAGGGUUGUUCGAGACUAGAACGUUGAUAGGUUGGGUGUGUAAGCGCUGCGAGGCGUUGAGCUAACCAAUACUAAUUGCCCGUGAGGCUUAACCAU